UUUUUUUUUUUUUUUUUUUUUUUUUUUUUGGUUUUUUUUGUCUUUUCUAGGGCUGCACCAGCGGCAUAUGGAGCAGCCCAAGAAAUGGCAAAAAGACAAAAAAAAAAAAAAAAAAAGAAUGGCUAAAGUCCAGAACACAGCCAAUACCAAAUGCUGCCCAGGAUGUGGAGCAACAGAAACCCUGGUGCAUUGCUGGUGGGAAUGCAAAAUAGUACAGCAACUCUUGAAGACAGCUUUGCCUGCUUCUCACAAACCUAAACUUCUCUUACCAUACAAUCCAGCAGUCACACUCCUUGGUAUUUUCACAAACGAGUUGAAAAAUUAUGUCUACACAAACACCUGCACAAACACCUGCAUGUCCCCACAAACUAAAGCUGCAUAUUUGUGGCAGCUUUAGUCAUAACUGCCAAAAGCUAGAAGUCACCAAGCUGCCCUUCGGAAGGUGAGUGGAUAAAUAAGGUAUGGUAUAUCCAGACAAUGGAAUAUUAUUCAGCACCAAAAAAAAAAAAUGAGCUAUCUAGCCCAGAAAAGACAUGGAAGGGAGUUCCCACUGUGGCUCAACAGGUUAAGAACCCCACAAAGUGUCCAUGAGGAUGCAGGUUCGAUCCCUGGUCUCGCUCAGUGGGUUAAGGAUCCGGUGUUGCUGCAAGCUAUGGUGUAGGUCACAGAUGCGGUUGGGAUCCGGCAUUGCUGUGGCCAUGGGGUAGGUCUGCAGUUGCAGCUGCAAUUUGACCCCUAGCCUGGAAACGUCCAUGGGCCACAAGUGUGGCCCUAAAAAAAAAAAAAAAAAAAAAAAAAAAAAAAAAAAAAAAAAAAGAUCAGCAGUUGCCAGGGGCUAGGGAUGGGAGAGGGGGAGGGGAAGGCGAUAAAUAGGCAGAGUCCAGAAGAAUUUUAGGGCCGUGAAACUAUCCCGCAUGAUACUACAAUGUAUCUCAUGGUUGAUCCAUGUGAUUAUACAUUUGCCGGUAGAAUGUACAACACUGAGAAGGAACUGUAUUGCGGACCUUCGGUGCUUAAAAAAGAAAACCAUCCUAGAGCCCAAGUACUGCAUCACCUUAGAACAGUGUACUCCAUCUCUCCAAACAUCCAUGUUCCUAUUCAUAUAACAGCAAUAAACGACCUAAGUCAAGGCGCUCUGAGUUUAAACGAGGUCACACAUUUGAAAGCCUCUAGCUCAGGAGAGGCGAUCAAGAAGUCCGUGUUACAGAUACUGACUCACAGACUUCGAAAAACUUAUGGUUUCCAAAAGAGACAGUUUGCGGGGUGGGGUGGGGGGAUGUGCUGGGGUCGUGGGAUGGAAAUCCUAUAAAAUUGGAUUAAAUUCAUUGAGUAAGAAAAAUAAAAUAAAACAAAAUAAUAAAAUAAAAUAAAAUAAAAACAAGUUAGUGUUAGACCCUGGACAGAAAUGCAUCCACAGUCCCACGUGGCCUCAGCUUGGGGGCGGGGCAUCUGUUUCCGGAAGCACAGCCUGGACUAGGGGUGGAGCCUGGAGGCAGGCACAGAGCCAGCGGCUGACAGGAGGAAGCCUGUGCUGUUUACAUUCCUAAUUACAGGAACCAAGGCUUCAGCACAGCCAGGUGUCAUUCCAACAGACAAGGUUAAUAGGAUGUGAACGGGCCCAGCUGCCACCGCUCUGCUCACGGAACGACAGGCGUGGAGGGGACGUCAGAUGCAGGAGCCGGCAGCCUGGCCGGGCUGGUCCGCUUCAGCUGCUCGGAGGCACAGGUUAAAAUUCC
RNAcentral lists this long non-coding RNA (1736 nucleotides) under Sus scrofa (pig). RNAcentral's name for it is "lncRNA (ENSSSCG00050076113.1)". The record is from RNAcentral. Lineage: Eukaryota; Metazoa; Chordata; Mammalia; Artiodactyla; Suidae.